CAUAGGGUAGUAUAACAAAUACCUUUUGCUUACACCAAAAAGCUGGUUACAUAAGCCCCCUUUGA
RNAcentral lists this transfer RNA (65 nucleotides) under Lamprotula gottschei. Its description in RNAcentral is "tRNA-Val". Lineage: Eukaryota; Metazoa; Mollusca; Bivalvia; Unionida; Unionidae. The record is from RNAcentral.